This 474-nucleotide ribosomal RNA is filed under the name uncultured bacterium. RNAcentral's name for it is "bacterial SSU rRNA". It matches the Rfam family "Bacterial small subunit ribosomal RNA", at positions 335 to 802 of the family's 1533-position model. The record is from RNAcentral.
ACUCCUACGGGAGGCAGCAGUAGGGAAUCUUCCACAAUGGGCGCAAGCCUGAUGGAGCAACACCGCGUGAGUGAAGAAGGGUUUCGGCUCGUAAAGCUCUGUUGUUAAAGAAGAACACGUAUGAGAGUAACUGUUCAUACGUUGACGGUAUUUAACCAGAAAGUCACGGCUAACUACGUGCCAGCAGCCGCGGUAAUACGUAGGUGGCAAGCGUUAUCCGGAUUUAUUGGGCGUAAAGAGAGUGCAGGCGGUUUUCUAAGUCUGAUGUGAAAGCCUUCGGCUUAACCGGAGAGGUGCAUCGGAAACUGGAUAACUUGAGUGCAGAAGAGGGUAGUGGAACUCCAUGUGUAGCGGUGGAAUGCGUAGAUAUAUGGAAGAACACCAGUGGCGAAGGCGGCUACCUGGUCUGCAACUGACGCUGAGACUCGAAAGCAUGGGGUAGCGAACAGGAUUAGAUACCCUGGUAGACUGUCA